Molecule: ribosomal RNA, 429 nt
Filed under: Pseudomonadota bacterium
Lineage: Bacteria; Pseudomonadati; Pseudomonadota
Description: Proteobacteria bacterium partial 16S ribosomal RNA
Rfam family: Bacterial small subunit ribosomal RNA
Source: RNAcentral
UGGGGAAUAUUGGACAAUGGGCGAAAGCCUGAUCCAGCCAUGCCGCGUGUGUGAAGAAGGUCUUCGGAUUGUAAAGCACUUUAAGUUGGGAGGAAGGGCAGUAAGCGAAUACCUUGCUGUUUUGACGUUACCGACAGAAUAAGCACCGGCUAACUCUGUGCCAGCAGCCGCGGUAAUACAGAGGGUGCAAGCGUUAAUCGGAAUUACUGGGCGUAAAGCGCGCGUAGGUGGUUCGUUAAGUUGAAUGUGAAAGCCCCGGGCUCAACCUGGGAACUGCAUCCAAAACUGGCGAGCUAGAGUAGGGCAGAGGGUGGUGGGAUUUCCUGUGGAGCGGUGAAAUGCGUAGAUAUAGGAAGGAACACCAGUGGCGAAGGCGACCACCUGGGCUCAUACUGACACUGAGGUGCGAAAGCGUGGGGAGCAAACAGG